This 69-nucleotide transfer RNA is filed under the name Pandalus hypsinotus. RNAcentral's name for it is "tRNA-Val". The record is from RNAcentral. Lineage: Eukaryota; Metazoa; Arthropoda; Malacostraca; Decapoda; Pandalidae.
UUAAAUUGUAGCUAAAGUUAAAGCGCUUCAGUUACGUUGAAGAGAUCACCUGAAUUGGUGCCGUUUAAA